This 445-nucleotide ribosomal RNA is filed under the name uncultured bacterium. RNAcentral describes it as "partial 16S ribosomal RNA". It matches the Rfam family "Bacterial small subunit ribosomal RNA", at positions 354 to 796 of the family's 1533-position model. The record is from RNAcentral.
GUAAGGAAUAUUGGACAAUGGACGCAAGUCUGAUCCAGCCAUGCCGCGUGAAGGAUUAAGGUCCUCUGGAUUGUAAACUUCUUUUAUAAGGGACGAAAAAAGGCUUUUCUAAGUCGUCUGACGGUACCUUAUGAAUAAGCACCGGCUAACUCCGUGCCAGCAGCCGCGGUAAUACGGAGGGUGCAAGCGUUAUCCGGAUUCACUGGGUUUAAAGGGUGCGUAGGCGGGCAGGUAAGUCAGUGGUGAAAUCCUAGAGCUUAACUCUAGAACUGCCAUUGAUACUAUCUGUCUUGAAUAUUGUGGAGGUAAGCGGAAUAUGUCAUGUAGCGGUGAAAUGCUGAGAUAUGACAUAGAACACCUAUUGCGAAGGCAGCUUACUACGCAUAUAUUGACGCUGAGGCACGAAAGCGUGGGGAUCAAACAGGAUUAGAUACCCCAGUAGUCC